GAUGAACGCUGGCGGCGUGCCUAAUACAUGCAAGUCGAGCGAACAGAUGAGGAGCUUGCUCCUCUGACGUUAGCGGCGGACGGGUGAGUAACACGUGGAUAACCUGCCUAUAAGACUGGUAUAACUUCGGGAAACCGGAGCUAAUACCGGAUAAUAUCUUGAACCGCAUGGUUCAAUAGUGACAGACGGUUUUGCUGUCACUUAUAGAUGGAUCCGCGCCUCAUUAGCUAGUUGGUAAGGUAACGGCUUACCAAGGCAACGAUGCGCAGCCGACCUGAGAGGGUGAUCCGCCACACUGUAACAUAGACACGGACCAGACUCCUACGGGAGGCAGCAGUAGGGAAUCUUCCGCAAUGGGCGAAAGCCUGACGGAGCAACGCCGCGUGGGUGAUGAAGGUCUUCGGAUCGUAAGACUCUGUUAUUAGGGAAGAACAAAUGUGUAAGUAACUAUGCACGUCUUUACGGUACCUAAUCAGAAAGCCACGCCUAACUACGUG
Molecule: ribosomal RNA, 497 nt
Filed under: uncultured bacterium
Lineage: Bacteria
Description: partial 16S ribosomal RNA
Rfam family: Bacterial small subunit ribosomal RNA
Source: RNAcentral